This 497-nucleotide ribosomal RNA is filed under the name uncultured bacterium. RNAcentral's name for it is "partial 16S ribosomal RNA". It matches the Rfam family "Bacterial small subunit ribosomal RNA", at positions 28 to 507 of the family's 1533-position model. The record is from RNAcentral.
GAUGAACGCUGGCGGUGUGCCUAAUACAUGCAAGCCGAGCGAACAGACGAGGAGCUUACUCCUCUGACGUUAGCGGCGGACGGGUGAGUAACACGUGGAUAACCUACCUAUAAGACUGGGAUAACUUCGGGAAACCGGAGCUAAUACCGGAUAACAUGUUGAACCGCAUGGUUCAACAGUGAAAGACGGUCUUGCUGUCACUUAUAGAUGGAUCCGCGUCGCAUUAGCUAGUUGGUAAGGUAACGGCUUACCAAGGCAACGAUGCGUAGCCGACCUGAGAGGGUGAUCGGCCACACUGGAACUGAGACACGGUCCAGACUCCUACGGGAGGCAGCAGUAGGGAAUCUUCCGCAAUGGGCGAAAGCCUGACGGAGCAACGCCGCGUGAGUGAAGAAGGUCUUCGGAUCGUAAAACUCUGUUAUUAGGGAAGAACAAAUGUGUAAGUAACUAUGCACGUCUUGACGGUACCUAAUCAGAAAGCCACGGCUAACUACGUG